GCCGGGGUGCCCGAGCGGACUAAGGGGCUGGCCUUGAGAGCCAGUGGGGCAUGGUCCCCGCGCGGGUUCAAAUCCCGCCCCCGGCGCCA
This 89-nucleotide transfer RNA is filed under the name Thermoprotei archaeon. RNAcentral's name for it is "tRNA-Ser". It matches the Rfam family "tRNA". From Rfam's summary of the family: Transfer RNA (tRNA) molecules are approximately 80 nucleotides in length. The record is from RNAcentral. Lineage: Archaea; Thermoproteati; Thermoproteota; Thermoprotei.